AAAUGAAUUUGCUUAGUGCACCACAUGUGUUUUUCUUUGAAACAAACUUGCUUUGGCGGUGGGCCCAGCCUGCCGCCAGAGGUCUAAACUUACAACCAAUUUUUUAUCAACUUGUCACACCAGAUUAUUACUAAUAGUCAAAACUUUCAACAACGGAUCUCUUGGUUCUCGCAUCGAUGAAGAACGCAGCGAAAUGCGAUACGUAAUAUGAAUUGCAGAUAUUCGUGAAUCAUCGAAUCUUUGAACGCACAUUGCGCCCUCUGGUAUUCCGGAGGGCAUGCCUGUUUGAGCGUCGUUUCUCCCUCAAACCGCUGGGUUUGGUGUUGAGCAAUACGACUUGGGUUUGCUUGAAAGACGGUAGUGGUAAGGCGGGAUCGCUUUGACAAUGGCUUAGGUCUAACCAAAAACAUUGUUUGCGGCGGUAACGUCCACCACGUAUAUCUUCAAACUUUGACCUCAAAUCAGGUAGGACUACCCGCUGAACUUAAGCAUAUCAAUAAGCGGAGGAA
RNAcentral lists this ribosomal RNA (509 nucleotides) under Candida albicans. RNAcentral's name for it is "eukaryotic LSU rRNA". The stretch from base 142 to 295 matches the Rfam family "5.8S ribosomal RNA". The record is from RNAcentral. Lineage: Eukaryota; Fungi; Ascomycota; Pichiomycetes; Serinales; Debaryomycetaceae.